RNAcentral lists this ribosomal RNA (433 nucleotides) under uncultured bacterium. Its description in RNAcentral is "partial 16S ribosomal RNA". It matches the Rfam family "Bacterial small subunit ribosomal RNA", at positions 29 to 507 of the family's 1533-position model. The record is from RNAcentral.
AACGAACGCUGGCGGCAUGCCUAACACAUGCAAGUCGAACGAGACCUUCGGGUCUAGUGGCGCACGGGUGCGUAACGCGUUGGAACCUGCCCUUAGGUUCGGAAUAACUCCCCGAAAGGGGUGCUAAUACCGGAUAAUGUCUUCGGACCAAAGAUUUAUCGCCUUUGGAUGGGCCCGCGUUGGAUUAGCUAGUUGGUAGGGUAAAAGCCUACCAAGGCGACGAUCCAUAGCUGGUCUGAGAGGAUGAUCAGCCACACUGGGACUGAGACACGGCCCAGACUCCUACGGGAGGCAGCAGUGGGGAAUAUUGGACAGUGGGCGAAAGCCUGAUCCAGCAAUGCCGCGUGAGUGAUGAAGGCCUUAGGGUUGUAAAGCUCUUUUACCCGGGAUGAUAAUGACAGUACCGGGAGAAUAAGCUCCGGCUAACUCCGUG